This is an RNA transcript of Eriocheir sinensis (Chinese mitten crab), 3339 nucleotides long. It is a transcript of the gene named nucleoporin SEH1-like, with no coding region annotated. Lineage: Eukaryota; Metazoa; Arthropoda; Malacostraca; Decapoda; Varunidae. The transcript is spliced from 8 exons. The record is from RefSeq and is a predicted model, not a curated record.
UACGAUAAUCUGGCAACCGUGAAGUUUGUUUACACCCGCGCCACGCCAAGAACCCGCCGAGUGUCCAUCAUUUUUCUCCUUUUACACGCCCAGGAGGAGCACAGGCGGCACGUGAAGGAUAUAUAUUAACGAGCAACAACAACCGAGCCCCAGGGUACAGGCGGCACGAGGUCUAAUCACCGAGGGAGGCCAGGCAGAGGGCGUGGAGGCGGGUGUGGGCAGCGAUGUUCGUGGCCAAGAGUCUGAACGCCGAGCACAAGGACCUCAUUCACGAUGUGGCCUUCGACUUCUACGGCAGGAGGAUGGCCACGUGCUCCAGCGACCAGAGCGUCAAGAUCUGGGACCUGAACGAGGAUGGGGAGUGGGUGUGCACAGCCUCCUGGAAGACUCACUGUGGCUCGGUGUGGAAGGUGACGUGGGCCCACCCAGAGUUUGGCCAGAUCAUUGCCACGUGUUCCUUCGACCGCACCGCCGCCAUCUGGGAGGAGAGUGUGAGUGACUCGGGCCAUGGCAUCCACAGCACCUGGAUCAAGCGCGCCGGCCUGGUUGACUCGCGCACCUCAGUUAUGGAUAUCAAGUUUGCCCCCAAGAUUCAGGGCUUACAGCUUGCCACGUGUUCAGCCGGUGGAGUGGUGAGGAUAUACGAGGCACCGGACGUGAUGAAUCUCAACCAAUGGUCACCACAGUACGAGAUCAACUGUAAACUGCAGUGUUCCUGUAUCUCCUGGAACCAGUCACCCUCCCGUCUCCACGCACCGCUCAUCGCUGUUGGGAGUGACGACCCAAACCCUUCCUCGGGGCCCAAGGUGUUCAUCUACGAGUUCUCGGCCAACACACACAAGUGGAACCGCGUGGAGAGCCUGGUGUCGGUGACGGACCCAGUACAUGAUCUCGCCUUUGCCCCGAACCUUGGCCGCUCGUAUCACCUCCUGGGCAUUGCCACCAAGGAUGUGCGAGUGGUGACGCUGCGCCCUGUCAAACAAGACUCAUCGCAGGCCCAGAACAGCUUGAUAUCCUUUGAGGUGCGGCAGGCAGGCCAGUUCGACGACCACAACUCCACCGUCUGGCGCGUGUGCUGGAACGCCACGGGAACCAUCUUGGCCUCGUCAGGGGAUGAUGGUUGUGUCCGCCUCUGGAAAGCGAACUACCUUGACAUCUGGCGCUGUAUUUCCACCAUGCGCGGGGAGGCGGUGGAGAACGUGGCGGAGGCGGACAGCACAGACCGGGCGACGCAGCAGUCCGGGGUCUCGGCCACGCAGCACACGGCCCGGUACUUCAAGCUGGCACCCACGGCCCAUCCGAGUCAUGUUCCCUGGCACUGACCUAUCCCGGGUGUUGAGGAAUAGGUAUUUUUUAAGUCUCGUUCUGUUUCAGUUAUUUCUUUCGUCUCUUUCGUUUUUGGUAUGAUCGUUUUUUGUUUUUUUAUAUUUUUUUUUAUGCUUUUCUCUUUUUUUCUUUGUCUUCUUUCUCUCCUCUGUCCUUUCCUUCUCCUCCCCUUCUUUUUAUUUCUUUUUCCCAUUCUUUCUUUUCUAUUCCUUUCCUUUCCCUUCCUCUUCCUUCCAUUUAUUUCCCUUCCCUUUCCUUCUUUUCCCUUCCCUUCCCUUUCCUUCCCUGUCCUCUCCUUCCCUUUUCUUCUUUUCUCUUCCCUUCCCAUACCUUCCCUUUCCAUCCUUUUCUUUCCCUUCCCUUCCCUUCCCUUCCUCUCCCUUUUCCUCCCUUUCCUUCCCUGUCCUUUCCUUCUUUUCCCUUCCCUUCCCAUACCUUCCCUUUCCUUCCCUUUCCUUGUUUUCCCUUCCCUUCCCUUCCCAUACCUUCCCUUUCCAUCCUUUUCUUUCCCUUCCCUUACCUUCCUCUCCCUUUUCCUCCCUUUCCUUCCCUGUCCUCCCUUUCUUUCCUCUUAUCCGCCCUCGUAAUUAGUCAGUUUGUUAUUUCAAGAUGUUUCGCCGUGAUGUGAUCGAGACGUCAUAUUUUUGUACUGUACAUGAGUGUGUGUGUGGGCAGUAACUUCGGAGAUUAGUGUGAUGAAGGUCUAUCACUUCCUUAAGACAAUAGAAGUAUAAAUGUUUCCUUGUGUUGAGCAGUUGUUUUCGUUGUUGUCGUAAGAUCGAGUCUCGUAUUCUCAGACGCUUUCGGCUCACAACAACUUAUUUCCAAAGCCCACAAAAGAGGUUAGUCAGGUUCUCAUGAGUGUUUUUCCAUGUUCAUAGUGCAGAAGCCUUGUCAAAACUACCCCUUGAGAUGCUAACACAACCUCUUUGAAAGCCCCCAAAUGUGUGAGAAUUGAGAAUAUGGUUUCGACUCACAACAACUUAUUUCCAAAGUCCACAAAGGAGGUUAGUCAGGUUCUCAUGAGUGUUUUUCCAUGUUCAUGGUGCAGAAGCCUUGUCAAAACUACCACCAUGCUCAUAAAACUACCCAUGGAAAUGCUAACACAACCUCUACGAAAGCCUUAUCAAAUGUGCGUAUACAGAAGCCUUGUCAAAACUACCUCUAGGCUCAUAAAACUACCCCUUGAAAUGCUAACACAGUCUCUAUGAAAGCCUUGGCAUAUGUGGGUGUGCAGAAGCCUUGUCAAAACUACCACUAGGCUCAUAAAACUACCCAUGGAAAUACAAACACAACAACCUCUACCAAAGCCUUAUCAUAUGUAGGUGUGUGAGCCGUGAAUUGUUUGAGAAUAUUGGUCAUAGUAUUUGUAGUAUUGAGUUUGUCCAUUUCUUACCCUUUCUUUUUUUUUACUUUUUUUUUUACUGCAAAGGAGACAGCUCAAGGGCACACAAAAAAGGAAACGGUAAUUAAAAAAAAGCCCACUACUCGCCGUUCCUGAAAAGAGUAAAGAGGAGUGGCCGUACAAGAGGUCAAUUUCAGGAGGAGAGUUGUUUACCCAUCCGCUGCGAUUGGCACGGAUUUAUCCUUCACUGGUAGCCUGGUAACAUACACUCCCAGGUCUUUCUCUAGCUCUGUGGUGGAUAGUGGAGUGUUUCCCAUAUGGUAUUGGUGUGCUGGAUAUCCCCUCCCAAGGUGCAGGACUUUACAUCUUUCUUCAUUUAAUUGUAGCAGCCACUUUUUGUUCCACUCCUGUAGCUUGGUGAUGUCUUCUUGUAGGAAAUCCACAGUCAAGGGGUUAAGUUGUUCAGUUAAAGAGAGGAAAUCUAACAUCUAUUGAUAACAUGUUUCUCGUACAAGGUUUAGUCCCCAAGAAGCAAGAUUGUAGUCAUUUAUAUUUUGCUUGUUUUGUUGUUUAUAGUAACGAAAGGACUUGGUGAGCGAUGUGAGAUGAACGCAACAGGGCAUCACUUGUAACUUGUUCUAAUAAAGAUGACAAUUAUAACAGUUGAU